Molecule: transfer RNA, 84 nt
Filed under: Salmo salar (Atlantic salmon)
Lineage: Eukaryota; Metazoa; Chordata; Actinopteri; Salmoniformes; Salmonidae
Rfam family: tRNA
About the family: Transfer RNA (tRNA) molecules are approximately 80 nucleotides in length.
Source: Rfam by way of RNAcentral
CUCCCUGUGGCUCAGUUGGUAGAGCAUGGUGUUUGCAAUGGUGUUUGCAACGCCAGGGUUGUGGGUUCAAUUCCCAUGGGGGGC